Molecule: transfer RNA, 72 nt
Filed under: Marmota monax (woodchuck)
Lineage: Eukaryota; Metazoa; Chordata; Mammalia; Rodentia; Sciuridae
Description: tRNA.Ala
Source: RNAcentral
GCGGUGGUGGCUCAAGAGGAAGAGCGCUCAUCUAGCAUGUGUGAGGUGCUGGGUUCAAUCCUCAGCACCACA